Molecule: long non-coding RNA, 354 nt
Organism: Chelonoidis abingdonii (Abingdon island giant tortoise)
Lineage: Eukaryota; Metazoa; Chordata; Testudines; Testudinidae
Source: RefSeq, a predicted model, not a curated record
AUGAUCCAGCUUGUUUCAGUCAGCCAGUCUGGUGCUUCUGUGUGAAUGAGGAAUUAGAAAGUGGGCGUGGAACGAGAGAGUUGUUUCAAGGUAAUUGAAGACACCAAAUUUAUACCAGCAGAUUUUCAGAAGACAACCAGGUCAUUCUUAUUGGUGAAAGAAGAGAGGAAUUGAAUUUAUGCAUUUGGCUGACCAUGGUGUAGCAUCACCAUGUGCUUACGUAGCUGAAUAGUGGUUAUCCAUGAGCGAUGUAGGUUACCAAAUCUAGAGAUGGUGUGCACUUUACAAACCAAGAGCAAGAUUCAUUCAUUGGCCUCUCGCCACAGAGGGUCUGUUGGAAAUGGGGGCUCAGUG